AAAGCUCGUAGUUGAACCUCGGGAUCAAUGGGUCGGUCAUGCCAAUGGUAUGUACUGGCCUCAUUGGUUCUCACCUUCUAAGGAACCAUGAUGUCAUUCAUUUGAUGUUGUGGGGAAUUAGGACUGUUACCUUGAAAAAAUUAGAGUGUUUAAAGCAGGCUAACGCUUGAAUACAUUAGCAUGGAAUAAUGAAAUAGGACAUCGCAUUCUAUUUUGUUGGUUUCUAGGAUCGAUGUAAUGAUUAAUAGGGAUAGUUGGGGGCAUUAGUAUUCAAUUGUCAGAGGUGAAAUUCUUGGAUUUAUUGAAGACUAACUACUGCGAAAGCAUUUGCCAAGGAUGUUUUCAUUAAUCAAGAACGAAAGUUAGGGGAUCGAAGACGAUCAGAUACCGUCGUAGUCUUAACCAUAAACUAUGCCGACUAGGGAUCGGAUGAUGUUGAUUUUUUAAUGACUCAUUCGGCA
RNAcentral lists this ribosomal RNA (461 nucleotides) under uncultured Glomus. Its description in RNAcentral is "SSU rRNA". It matches the Rfam family "Eukaryotic small subunit ribosomal RNA", at positions 623 to 1085 of the family's 1831-position model. Lineage: Eukaryota; Fungi; Glomeromycota; Glomeromycetes; Glomerales; Glomeraceae. The record is from RNAcentral.